RNAcentral lists this long non-coding RNA (2744 nucleotides) under Olea europaea subsp. europaea. The record is from RNAcentral. Lineage: Eukaryota; Viridiplantae; Streptophyta; Magnoliopsida; Lamiales; Oleaceae.
CUUAAUUGGAAAAUACACCCACAUAAGGAAAGUGAAGCUCCCAACCCUUCGAACAGAGAUUCGAUCCCGACGACAAUUUUCCCAGGUAGGUGGCACUACAGUGAAGAUACGGUUGUUGCUGGGAGCAUUAUUUCGUCGGUUGCUAUCUCCAUCGAACUUUCAUGUUUUCGAAGACGAUUACAUUCCGUCGUCCUUUUCCACUCGCUCCCCAAACGUAUAAGUUUCUUGGUUGCCUUAAUUGGAGAAUACACCCACAUACGGAAAGUGAAGCUCCCAACCCUUCGAACAAAGAUCCGAUCCCGACGACAAUUUUCCCAGGUUGGUGGUACUACAACAAAGAUACGAUUGUUGCUGGGAGCAUUUCGUCAGUUGCCAUCUCCGGCAAACUUUCACAUUUUUUAAGACGGUUACAUUCCAUCGUCCUUCUCCAUCUCGCUCCCCAAAUGUGCAUGUUUCUUUGUACGAUUGUUGUUGGAAGCAUUAUUUCGUCAGUUGCCAUCUCUGUCGAACUUUCAUGUUUUCGAAGACGGUUGCAUUCCAUCUUCCUUCUCCAUCUCGCACCCCAAACGUCUAAGCUUCUUUGUUUGAUUUUUCAAAUUUUAACUUUCUUCAUUUGGAAAGAUGAUAAAUGGCGGUCUCGUUACCUUGAAGAUUUUUAAUUACUGUCCAUGUGCAGAUUUACCAAUUUUUAACCUUCUUCAUUCGGAAAAGCCAUCUCCGUGCCGUCUUCGAUCAAAGAUUGUUGUUUAAAGGGCCUUUGAUUAUGGUCAGGUAUUCCUUUUUUUUUUGUCUUUUCUCUACAAUCAUAUGACUGCCACACAUUUUAUGCAACGUAGUUUAACCUCAAAUGUACGAUGUCAAAUUUUGUAAUAUAGUGAUAGAAUUUAAGUGUCGAAUCCACAGGGAUUGAUGUUUGAUUUCUAUCGAAUACUAUAAUUAUUUUAACUUCUACUUUAUUCAGAAAAUCAAUUUUUGACUUGAUGUGUUCAUGAUAAAUUAAUAUUAUGUGAUCUAAAUGGCAAUCCAAACAACUUAAUGUGAAAUAUAUGAAAAUAAUCAAUGCAAAGAAGUCUAGAGAAUGAUUUCACCGUCCUAUCAGCAAUGUUUUUCAAUCUCUAUGGUUAUUUCUCUAAAUUUUUCUCAAUUUCACAUUUUCUUUCUCGAGUGCCGAAUAGAAUUUAUUUCUAUACUCUAACCCCAAUAUCUCUAUUUCAGAUUAGAUCUAUAAAAAUUAUUAAGUCCUUGGUUCUUGAUUUGAAAUAAGCCUCAAAAAAUUCGUACUUUCUCUGGAAAUCUAGGUUAUGUUAUUCGUAGUUCAAGAUUAAAUCUCCCUCUCUCGAGUGCUAAAAUUCAAUAAAUCAAUCAUUCAACCAUUGAUCAGGUGAUUGAAAGCAAUAAGCACGAAUAACACUAAUAAAUGCUGAAAAAUUAAAGAAAUACGAUAUCAACAUCCAAACAUUGUAUCAGGUUGGGUUACAUCAACCCCAGAUCUAAGAUUUAGUUCAUAAUUGAUGAAAAUAACAUUCUAAAAUACAAAAUAAUGAGCAUGGAGAAGAAGGGAUUAGGGAAAACUCAGUUGAUGCUUCAAAUCUUCUCCCAAUGUUUGUAGAUCUUCUUCUUUGAAAAGCUUUUUCUCUUGUUUUUGCUUUGAGUCUUCUUUCCUCUUUGAUUUCUCGAAAAUCCAACCCCCUUUUCUAGGUCUUUUUCGUAGGUACUUAUAGUCUUUUAGGUUUUCAAGAUGUUUCAAGUUAGGCCGGGUCGAGAGUUCCCAAAAAAUAUGAAGUUUUUGCGUCUCGUGAGUCGGUGCUAAGCCGCGAUCUUCUUUUCUGCCCGCGCUGCGGCUCCCAGGCUGGGUUGAGAGUUCCAAAAAAAAUAUGAAGCUUUUGCCUCUAAUGAGUUGCCACCAUGGCACUAGGCCGCGAUCUUCUUUUUAAGCUUCUUGUUUCUUCAAUGCUCAUGGGCGCCGCGGCGCCCAACUCUCUGCUAUUUUUCUUCUUUUCUUGGGCGCCCAAUUUCAAAACCACGAUGCCCAUGGAACUGUUUCUCCUUGCUUUAUUUAUUAUCUAAGCCUCGUAGCCAUAUCAUUCUCCUUCAAUUUUCUCCAAUUCAUAAUCGAAUUUUAUAAUCAUCAUUAUAACUCCAUUACAACUCCAAAAUGUGGUAUUUUCUCGAAAGUUGUCCAAACUACAAAACAACACGAACAUACACAUCAAAACGUUCAAAUUUGCUCAAGAACAAACUAAAAACCGUGAUUAUAAGUGUUAGUUUAAUGAGUGAAUUGCACUCAUCAGUGACGUAGGCUACAUUCUUGCUUGAAUAUUGUCUAUUAAGGUUGCUUGUUCCUUGUUCCGUGACUUAGUUCAUGAAGUGACUUGGUAAGGUUGCUUGUUCUCAAAUAUUGCCUAUUAAGGAUAUAUUUUUUGUUGGACAUUUGGUCUAUAUGGUUGAUUUGGGGAGUUAGUUGAACUUAAAAAUUCAUGUUCUUCAUGCUAUUCGAAAGAGAUUCAGUAUGCUUGAUUUGAGGAGUCAGUUGAACAAAAAAAUUGAGGUACUUCAUAGUAAUUGAUAGAGGUUCACAUAAAAUAACUAAUGAUUAUUUGCAAUUAAUAAUGUAGUGAAAAUGUCGUUUAAGAUUAGUUUAUUUGUUUUGCCUAUCUUAGUGUUAUUAUGGAAUCUUGAAUGUGAUUCCUUAUGUUGUCGUAGAUACCAAAAUAUGGACGAAGUGCAAAUCAGGCAUGAUGAGG